CUGCCAGCUCUUCAGGGCACAUAUACUAAAACUGGAAUGAUACAGAGACAAUUAGUAUGGUUCCUGAGCAAGACUGAUAUGCAGAUUUCUAAACAUAGUAGCAGUGGUC
Heteronotia binoei (common prickly gecko) is the source of this 109-nucleotide small nuclear RNA. Lineage: Eukaryota; Metazoa; Chordata; Lepidosauria; Squamata; Gekkonidae. The record is from RefSeq and is a predicted model, not a curated record.